RNAcentral lists this long non-coding RNA (1178 nucleotides) under Danio rerio (zebrafish). RNAcentral's name for it is "lncRNA (ENSDARG00000117691.1)". The record is from RNAcentral. Lineage: Eukaryota; Metazoa; Chordata; Actinopteri; Cypriniformes; Danionidae.
AUCUAAUUCAACAUAUCUUCCUGUCUAACUGAUUAUAUCUGUAUCUCUUUGACUUUCUCCAUCAUCUCAGUGGAAGAAGACACAGAAGAAAGCUCACGGUCAGGCCACGACUCCAUUUCUACAGCCACAGACCUCACUCUUCCACCCUCCAACACUGAGAUCAACGGAGAACGCACCAAAGACGAUAAGAAAAAGGACAAGAAAGACAAGAACAAAGCCAAGAAGGGAGUGCUGAAGGGCCUGGGCGACAUGUUCAGGUUUGGCAAAAACCGCAAAGACGAAAAAAUGGAGCGCAAGGGUUCGAGUAAAAGCAAGAUGGAGGAGAUGACGGCCAGCGAGGAGGAGAUGCAAAGAAUGAGACUGGAACAGGAGAGGAUUCAGGCAAAGACGCGCGAGCUGCGGGAGCGUCAGGCCAAAGAGCGCGAGUAUGCAGAGAUCCAGGACUUCAGCCGGCCGCUGAGCUCAGACGAGGAGCACACCUACGCCGGCAUCGGCUCUCUGGACUCGUCUCUGGACAGCAGUCUAGAUCUGAGCCUCACGCCAGGACAGGAGCGUCCGUUGGGCCCUAGAGAGCCACCGCUGGCCCUUGAGACCCUGUACGCCCAGGUCAACAAGCCCCGCAGCAACCGGACGGCCCCUGCAGACAGAGACAAACAGCGUGACAAAGAAGCUGUCUGGCCCGAUUAGAGAGGCUGAGGGUGUGUGUAUGUAUGGCAUAGGGGCCCUUAAGUGCGCAGUGGGGGUCCCGAUGAGUGUGCCUGGAACCCCAAUGGGAAGUCAGAGGUGGUGCCCCGUUUACCUCCUGUAUAUGAGCACCUGCGCACACACACACACUUUCCCUUGGGAGAUGCAGAGAGCUUCUGUGAAGACUAAAGCGGAGAUGAUAAAUUAUGUUGAGGUGGUGAAGAAAUCCUUCAUUUCUGAAAUGCACACACACUCCAAAUCUAGUCCAGUGGUUCCCAAAAUGGGGGUCGGGACCCACCCAAGGGGUUGUGGGACAAUGAGCCGGGUCUCUUGAAGAUUUCCAAAAUAGUUGAAUGUUAGUAAUGUAAAAUGUUAAUAAUAAGCAUUAAAAAUCAAAUGCAAAUAAAAAGCCACCAGCCUUUCGAUUGAUUGAUUUAUUUUUUUGCGAUGCAAUGAUUACGUUAACAUUAAUAUAUAUAUAUAUAUAUAUUAAA